Long non-coding RNA from Harpia harpyja (harpy eagle), 3016 nucleotides. RefSeq lists it as uncharacterized. The transcript is spliced from 6 exons. NCBI's taxonomy places the organism in Eukaryota, Metazoa, Chordata, Aves, Accipitriformes, Accipitridae. The record is from RefSeq and is a predicted model, not a curated record.
AUUAUAGCUGUAUAUUUUUUUUAUUUUUUUGUUCCCAUGCGUCCUCCAAAGGUUUCUUUUUUAUAUAUAAAAGAUCCAACACAGAUUUCAUUGAAUAAAUCUGAGAUCUCCAGGUGCAGACGUUUGAAUAGUCAGUGCCAGAACCCCAUGUUUUCCUUUCCAGCCGAUUUUGCUUGGAUCAGGCUCAAAAACCGAGUGAGUCUCGUGGUUUUGUUUACACUGAAUGGGGAGGAUAGGAACGGUGCCAUGGGGCCGUCUUUCAUUAAUAUACAGUGAGGAUUUUGUCUAAAUUACUGCUAUGAAUUUCACAGUACACGCUUUCAAAAGCCGUCUCAGGUGGCCUGAUGAAACGUGAUAGCGCCUCUGCAAACAGAUCUACUUUCUUAAUAAAAAAGGAAGGGGGGGGGGAAGAAAUCCCCCCAAAUAAAAAAAAAAAAGUACACCCUCAUAACAGCGACAACAAAAAAUAAAGCUCGAGCUGGAGUAAUGUCUUUUAUUUAAAAAAAAAAACCACACAAACCCAACCAACUUAGUUCCCCAACUCUUCCCACCCCCUCCCUUGCAGAGUGUUGAUUGUUUUGUCUGGAAAAAAAUCCAAAGUAUAACAAGGGGAGAACAGUUAGUGCUGAUUUUCAUUUGCAUAAAUUUUCAUAUAUUUUGGUGAAAAUAAUAGACUAGUGGAGAGCGGGGCUUAGUGGAGUCAGUGCAAAGGAAAAUCUUAACAUGGAUCGUUUCGCUGGAGUUGAGAACAUGCUUUUUCCCCCCUGUCACCUUAUUAAAAUCAAAAAUUAAAAAAAAAAUCUCUAAAUCCUGGAAGUAUGACCGGAGGCUGCCCCCGAUUUUAGUCCAAAGGAGCUGCUUUUGGGAAUUGGGUGUCCGGCUCCGGUGUUUGCCUGCUGAGGAAGAGUUUGUACAGGUCCCGUAGACUCGAGUCACGCCGGUGGCGGGGUCCCACUCGCUGUGACACCUCCACUCGCCUGCCUUUGGCGGUGUCACCUCCCUCACCGAACCUCACCGCUUUAGACGGCGCCAGCCAACAGCAGCGUUUUGUGGCUCACUCUGUUCUCCAGUCUUGUUACGUGGAUUUCUCUCUCUCCAAGUAAUUUCUCAGCAUCCCCUUGAAUGGCAUCUACCGCACAUAACUUUUCCAACCCACAAGGCUGAAACAACUUCCCAUAGCUGAAAUGACUGCAGCGCAGCUAUUCCCUAGAAGACAUCCUCCCUGAUUUCUUGUGGGGCCUCUAAGAUGACUGAAGUUCUAGAACAGCAAAGACAUGGAAAAGGCAUUGAGGUCCUAUUGCUCCUGUCGGAAAUUUCUGCUGACUACAGCAUGAGUUGGAUUGGGCCCAGAGAAACCAAAUACACACAAGUAACAAUGAGUUGGCCAUACAAGCAAGGAAAAUCACAGAUAACAGGUGCACACAAAUUAGCAAUGUACCUUUUAGGUCAUCCAGUACAGCUCCCUGACACAGUGAGAUUGUUUCCUAUGGCAUAUUUUCAUUUUUUUUUGUGUGCCUAGAUUAAAUGUCCUAAGUGAUGCCAUGUCCCUAGGGAGAGAUUGUGCUGCCUAGAGUAUCUUGUUGUCAGAAGUUUUUUUUCCUUUCUUAACAUCAUCAUAUUUCUCCUAGUUAUGUCCCUUCACAAAUCUCCCUCUUUUCCUUCAUUUAUGCUAUUUGCCUCCACUAUUUUUUAACUAGCAUGAUGUUGUGUUUAUUUAGCAUUAAGCCAACCCAUAGCUAUUUAGCUCAUUUAAUCUUCCCUAACAAAUCCGUCCUUCCAGUCUCCUGGUUAUUCUUCCUUUCCUCUUGUCACACUCCUGCCUGUCAGUAUCUUUUUUAGUUAUGGGAUUUUGAAGAUGUGAUGCAUUUCUCUGGACUGGUGACAGAUCUGGUAUAGAGCUGGGCACCCUCAAUGUCUUCCCACUGAAAAACCAUCCUGAUGUGCUCAGGAGAAAGCUGCCAGGGUUCUGGACAGACACACAGGUAGAGUAUCUUGCUCAAACCACUUCCUUGGUGCCACUUAUUCUAUUGGCCAACUAAACCCUAUUAAAACAGUUAACCUAGUAGUUCAAAAAACAAAUACAUGUCAUUAUGGAUUUAUUUUAUUUCUCACAACGUUAGGAGAGAGAAUAGCACAGAUAAAAAGGUCUUUGUUGCUGUUGUUGAGAUUUUCUAACUCUUGGUCGUGGACAUCACAGUUUAAAAUUAUGGAAGACGUCAUCUUCCAUAACUGUGUCUGAGUGUUAGGAGAGUACAUUGUAGAAAGUAAUUAUAUACAUAGUCAGAAGCCUAGCUGUUCACUUCAGGCAAUAAAUUUUGAUCAACAAACAACACUCCUUUAGUGCUAAAUGAGAUCUUGGUUGUAAUUGAAUGUCUUUACCUUUGUGUUCUGUUGGAUUGGAGGAAUAUCAUCUUAAUCUGCUCUCUUUAAAUUUUCAUUAAGGAACGUUUCAGCUACCUGCAGCCUCAUCUGAUGAUGUUUAAUGAUAUCUGCUAGCUCGGUCUUCCGUGCACCAGCAGGGGCUUCUUUAAAUUGGUCAAAUGUACGGAACAUUGUUUUCAAAUUUAAUGUACUUGGAAUCAACCUUUUAAAAUAAUGGCAUCUCUAAAGUCAGUUUAUAGACAUAGUGCACACACAUGCAUGCAUUUAUAUGUGCACGUGUGUGCAUGCAUAUAUAUAUGUGCGUCAGUGCACACACAUGUACAGAAACGCUGAUCCUAUUCACCUUCUUGAAACCAUUUCAGCUAGUAUUAACAUAAAUGUGCUGUUAAAUUGGCAGUGUUAUACAUUUUUGUUGGAGUUUACUUCUGUAACAUAAAAUCAGAAAGAUAAGCUGUGAAACUCAUGCAGCUGAUGACAUAAUGCUAGGAUCUCGUGAUGCUGAAUCUCAUAUUUCUAGGAGUGUGGGAUGGAUGUUCCUUGCUGAAAUAAUUAUACUGUGUAUUGCAAUAUAUGUUUCCUUGUUUUCAUGUGGGCACUGAGAUGUCCAAACCAUUAAACGCAUAUGGUAUAAUAA